Molecule: ribosomal RNA, 428 nt
Filed under: uncultured archaeon
Lineage: Archaea
Description: bacterial SSU rRNA
Rfam family: Archaeal small subunit ribosomal RNA
Source: RNAcentral
UACCUGCAGCUCGAGUGGUAACCGUUAUUAUUGGGCCUAAAGCGUUCGUAGCCGGUUUGGUAAAUAUUCGGGUAAAUCGUGGGGCUUAACCUCACGAAUUUCGGAUAGACUGCCUAACUCGGGACCGGGGGAGGUCAGAGGUACUCCUGGGGUAGCGGUGAAAUGCUGUAAUCCUUGGAGGACCACCAGUAGCGAAGGCGUCUGACUAAAACGGAUCCGACGGUGAGGGACGAAGCCCUGGGGCGCAAACCGGAUUAGAUACCCGGGUAGUCCAGGGUGUAAACGAUGUAGGCUUUGUAUUGGAAGCUCCACGAGGGCGUCCAGUGCAGAAGAGAAGUUGUUAAGCCCACCGCCUGGGAAGUACGGUCGCAAGGCUGAAACUUAAAGGAAUUGGCGGGGAGCACAGCAACGGGAGGAGCGUGCGGUUU